RNAcentral lists this ribosomal RNA (478 nucleotides) under uncultured bacterium. RNAcentral's name for it is "partial 16S ribosomal RNA". It matches the Rfam family "Bacterial small subunit ribosomal RNA", at positions 28 to 523 of the family's 1533-position model. The record is from RNAcentral.
GACGAACGCUGGCGGCGUGCUUAACACAUGCAAGUCGAACGGUAAGGCCCUUCGGGGUACACGAGUGGCGAACGGGUGAGUAACACGUGGGUGAUCUGCCCUGCACUUCGGGAUAAGCCUGGGAAACUGGGUCUAAUACCGGAUAGGACCCUGGGAUGCAUGUCCUGGGGUGGAAAGCUUUUGCGGUGUGGGAUGGGCCUGCGGCCUAUCAGCUUGUUGGUGGGGUGAUGGCCUACCAAGGCGACGACGGGUAGCCGGCCUGAGAGGGUGACCGGACACACUGGGCCUGAGAUACGGCCCAGACUCCUACGGGAGGCAGCAGUGGGGAAUAUUGCACAAUGGGCGCAAGCCUGAUGCAGCGACGCCGCGUGAGGGAUGACGGCCUUCGGGUUGUAAACCUCUUACAGCACCGACGAAGCGCAAGUGACGGUAGGUGCAGAAGAAGGACCGGCCAACUACGUGCCAGCCGCCGCCGUAA